CCUACGGGAGGCAGCAGUGGGGAAUAUUGCACAAUGGGCGCAAGCCUGAUGCAGCCAUGCCGCGUGUGUGAAGAAGGCCUUCGGGUUGUAAAGCACUUUCAGCGGGGAGGAAGGCGUUAAGGUUAAUAACCUUGGCGAUUGACGUUACCCGCAGAAGAAGCACCGGCUAACUCCGUGCCAGCAGCCGCGGUAAUACGGAGGGUGCAAGCGUUAAUCGGAAUUACUGGGCGUAAAGCGCACGCAGGCGGUCUGUCAAGUCGGAUGUGAAAUCCCCGGGCUCAACCUGGGAACUGCAUUCGAAACUGGCAGGCUAGAGUCUUGUAGAGGGGGGUAGAAUUCCAGGUGUAGCGGUGAAAUGCGUAGAGAUCCGGAGGAAUACCGGUGGCGAAGGCGGCCCCCUGGACAAAGACUGACGCUCAGGUGCGAAAGCGUGGGGAGCAAACAGGAUUAGAUACCCUAGUAGUC
This 465-nucleotide ribosomal RNA is filed under the name uncultured Klebsiella sp. RNAcentral describes it as "bacterial SSU rRNA". It matches the Rfam family "Bacterial small subunit ribosomal RNA", at positions 338 to 795 of the family's 1533-position model. The record is from RNAcentral. Lineage: Bacteria; Pseudomonadati; Pseudomonadota; Gammaproteobacteria; Enterobacterales; Enterobacteriaceae.